Molecule: non-coding RNA, 206 nt
Filed under: Pyrinomonadaceae bacterium
Lineage: Bacteria; Pseudomonadati; Acidobacteriota; Blastocatellia; Blastocatellales; Pyrinomonadaceae
Description: 6S RNA
Rfam family: 6S / SsrS RNA
About the family: E. coli 6S RNA was the first non coding RNA to be sequenced, but its function was unknown until recently. It consists of 184 nucleotides that fold into an extended hairpin structure with a large single-stranded internal bulge. The 6S RNA specifically associates with RNA polymerase holoenzyme containing the sigma70 specificity factor.
Source: RNAcentral
AAUUGACUGCGUUUCUCGUCACGGAACGCAAUUACAAUUGAGCCAACAUAUGAAUGACGGGAGGCUGAUGCCGGAGGUCAGUGCAGGUCUCUAAGGAGUUUUGCCGGAGGCCAUCGGCUUGGAUGCUGCUGAAAGGCGGCAGAAAGCCACCCACCUGUUACCUACAGGUUCAAUUCAUGUCGUUCCAACGGCCACGCGGUCAUCAU